RNAcentral lists this ribosomal RNA (253 nucleotides) under uncultured bacterium. Its description in RNAcentral is "partial 16S ribosomal RNA". It matches the Rfam family "Bacterial small subunit ribosomal RNA", at positions 524 to 776 of the family's 1533-position model. The record is from RNAcentral.
UACAGAGGUCUCAAGCGUUGUUCGGAUUCAUUGGGCGUAAAGGGUGCGUAGGUGGCGCUGUAAGUCGGGUGUGAAAUUUCGGAGCUUAACUCCGAAACUGCAUUCGAUACUGCGGUGCUUGAGGACUGGAGAGGAGACUGGAAUUUAUGGUGUAGCAGUGAAAUGCGUAGAGAUCAUAAGGAAGACCAGUGGCGAAGGCGGGUCUCUGGACAGUUCCUGACACUGAGGCACGAAGGCCAGGGGAGCGAACAGG